AAGACCGCGUGAGGGAGGAAGGCUCUUGGGUUGUAAACCUCUUUCUCUGGGAAGAACAAAAAUGACGGUACCAGAGGAAUCAGCAUCGGCUAACUCCGUGCCAGCAGCCGCGGUAAGACGGAGGAUGCAAGCGUUAUCCGGAAUGAUUGGGCGUAAAGCGUCCGCAGGUGGCAAUUCAAGUCUGCUGUUAAAGCGCAGGGCUUAACCCUGUAAAGGCAGUGGAAACUGAAUAGCUAGAGUAUGGUAGGGGUAGAGGGAAUUCCCAGUGUAGCGGUGAAAUGCGUAGAUAUUGGGAAGAACAUCGGUGGCGAAGGCGCUCUACUGGACCAUAACUGACACUCACAGGACGAAAGCUAGGGGAGCGAAUGGGAUUAGAUACCCCAGUAGUCCUAGCCGUAAACGAUGGAUACUAGGUGUUGUCUGUAUCGACCCGGACAGUGCCGUAGCUAACGCGUUAAGUAUCCCGCCUGGGGAGUACGCACGCAAGUGUGAAACUCAAAGGAAUUGACGGG
RNAcentral lists this ribosomal RNA (512 nucleotides) under uncultured bacterium. RNAcentral's name for it is "bacterial SSU rRNA". It matches the Rfam family "Bacterial small subunit ribosomal RNA", at positions 393 to 917 of the family's 1533-position model. The record is from RNAcentral.